This 235-nucleotide ribosomal RNA is filed under the name uncultured bacterium. RNAcentral's name for it is "partial 16S ribosomal RNA". It matches the Rfam family "Bacterial small subunit ribosomal RNA", at positions 542 to 776 of the family's 1533-position model. The record is from RNAcentral.
UGUCCGGAAUUAUUGGGCGUAAAGGGCUCGUAGGCGGCUUGUCGCGUCGGCUGUGAAAACCUGGGGCUCAACCCCGGGCCUGCAGCCGAUACGGGCAAGCUAGAAUUCGGUAGGGGAGACUGGAAUUCCUGGUGUAGCGGUGAAAUGCGCAGAUAUCAGGAAGAACACCCGUGGCUAAGGCGGCUCUCUAGUACGGUACUGACGCUGAGACGCGAAAGCGUGGGGAGCGAACAGG